Molecule: ribosomal RNA, 486 nt
Filed under: uncultured bacterium
Lineage: Bacteria
Description: partial 16S ribosomal RNA
Rfam family: Bacterial small subunit ribosomal RNA
Source: RNAcentral
GACGAACGCUGGCGGCGUGCUUAACACAUGCAAGUCGAACGAUGAACCCGGAGCUUGCUCCGGUGGAUUAGUGGCGAACGGGUGAGUAACACGUGAGUAACCUGCCCUUGACUCUGGGAUAACUGCGGGAAACUGUAGCUAAUACCGGAUACGACCCUCGGCGGCAUCGCCAGGGGGUGGAAAGAAUUUCGGUCAAGGAUGGACUCGCGGCCUAUCAGCUAGUUGGUGAGGUAACGGCUCACCAAGGCGACGACGGGUAGCCGGCCUGAGAGGGUGAGCGGCCAAACUGGGACUGAGACACGGCCCAGACUCCUACGGGAGGCAGCAGUGGGGAGUAUUGCGCAAUGGGCGAAAGCCUGACGCAGCAACGCCGCGUGCGGGAUGAAGGCCUUCGGGUUGUAAACCGCUUUCAGCAGGGAAGAAGCCGCAAGGUGACGGUACCUGCAGAAGAAGCACCGGCUAACUACGUGCCAGCCGCCGCCGUAA